This 494-nucleotide ribosomal RNA is filed under the name uncultured bacterium. RNAcentral's name for it is "partial 16S ribosomal RNA". It matches the Rfam family "Bacterial small subunit ribosomal RNA", at positions 28 to 507 of the family's 1533-position model. The record is from RNAcentral.
GACGAACGCUGGCGGCGUGCUUAACACAUGCAAGUCGAACGGAAAGGCCUGCUUUCCCUUGUGGAUUGCGGGUACUCGAGUGGCGAACGGGUGAGUAACACGUGAGUGAUCUGCCCCCAACUUGGGUAUAAGCCUGGGAAACUGGGUCUAAUUCCCGAUAGGACUGCAGGGUGGUGCCUGUGGUGGAAAACGAUUUUCUAGUGGUUGGGGAUGAGCUCGCGGCCUAUCAGCUUGUUGGUGGGGUAAUGGCCUACCAAGGCGGCGACGGGUAGCCGGCCUGAGAGGGUGGACGGCCACAUUGGGACUGAGAUACGGCCCAGACUCCUACGGGAGGCAGCAGUGGGGAAUAUUGCACGAUGGGCGGAAGCCUGAUGCAGCGACGCCGCGUGGGGGAUGACGGCCUUCGGGUUGUAAACUCCUUUCGACCGCGAGGAAGCCACCUGGUUGGAAGGGUGGUGACGGUAGUGGUAGAAGAAGCACCAGCUAACUACGUG